Long non-coding RNA from Bufo bufo (common toad), 241 nucleotides. RefSeq lists it as uncharacterized. The transcript is spliced from 3 exons. The record is from RefSeq and is a predicted model, not a curated record. Lineage: Eukaryota; Metazoa; Chordata; Amphibia; Anura; Bufonidae.
AAUAAGUUACAAUGUUGCCAUCACGUAUUUCUCUUGAAGAUAUAUGAUGCAUAGAAGAUCGUUCAGGAGAGGAGAGAGAGGGGUUGGGGGUCAACCAUGAGACGAUCAGCGUGAAGAUUUGAUAGUGAACAGCACUCUGCAGCUUUUAUGCAUUGUAAUGAUAAAAAUAAUAAGUAGUAAAUAAAUAAAUAGUAAUAAACAUUAUUAUCAUUAUCAUCGUAAAUAGUAAUAAUGCAUGAAA